RNAcentral lists this ribosomal RNA (2011 nucleotides) under Proctacanthus coquilletti. RNAcentral's name for it is "SSU rRNA". It matches the Rfam family "Eukaryotic small subunit ribosomal RNA". Lineage: Eukaryota; Metazoa; Arthropoda; Insecta; Diptera; Asilidae. The record is from RNAcentral.
UCUGGUUAAUCCUGCCAGUAGUUAUAUGAUUGUCUCAAAGAUUAAGCCAUGCAUGUCUAAGUACAAACGAAUUAAAAGUGAAACCGCAAAAGGCUCAUUAUAUCAGUUAUGGUUUAUUAGAUCGUUAACAGUUACUUGGAUAAUUGUGGUAAUUCUAGAGCUAAUACAUGCAAUAUAUAAACACGGACCCUUCACGAACGUGUGCUUUUAUUAGGCUAAAACCAAGCGAUAAUACUUUUAUAGUAAUAUCGUCAUAAUGGUUGAACUCUAGAUAAUUUGCAGAUCGUAUGGUCUUGUACCGACGACAGAUCUUUCAAAUGUCUGCCCUAUCAACUAUUGAUGGUAGUAUCUUGGACUACCAUGGUUGCAACGGGUGACGGGGAAUCAGGGUUCGAUUCCGGAGAGGGAGCCUGAGAAACGGCUACCACAUCUAAGGAAGGCAGUAGGCGCGUAAAUUACCCACUCCCAGUACGGGGAGGUAGUGAGGAAAAAUAACAAUACAGGACUCAUAUCCGAGGCCCUGUAAUUGGAAUGAGUACACUUUAAAUCUUUUAACAAGGACCUAUUGGAGGGUAAGCCUGGUGCCAACAGCCGCGGUAAUUCCAGCUCCAAUAGCGUAUAUUAAAGUUGUUGCGGUUAAAACGUUCGUAGUUGAAUUUGUGCUCCAUACGGGUAGUACAGUAAUAGUAGUAAAAUAUUGGUUUGUACAUUACCUUAUAUUACGCGAGCGUAUUAUCGGUGGAGUUCUAAUAUAUAUCUAUAUACAAUUUUAAUUGUUGUAAAUAUAUAUAACUCCUAUUUAAAAACCUGCUUCAAUGCUCUUUACCGAAUGUUGUUGUGGGCCUAUACAAUUACUUUGAACAAAUUAGAGUGCUUUAAGCACUCUAUUUACACUGAAUAUUUUGUGCAUGGAAUAAUGGAAUAAGACCUCUGUUCUACUUUCAUUGGUUUUUAGAUCAAGAGGUAAUGAUUAAUAAAAGCAGUUGGGGGCAUUAGUAUUACGACGCGAGAGGUGAAAUUCUUAGACCGUCGUAAGACUAACUUAAGCGAAAGCAUUUGCCAAAGAUGUUUUCAUUAAUCAAGAACGAAAGUUAGAGGUUCGAAGGCGAUCAGAUACCGCCCUAGUUCUAACCAUAAACGAUGCCAGCUAGCAAUUGGGUGUAGCUUCUAUUCUGGCUUUCUCAGUCGCUUCCCGGGAAACCAAAGCUUUUGGGCUCCGGGGGAAGUAUGGUUGCAAAGCUGAAACUUAAAGGAAUUGACGGAAGGGCACCACCAGGAGUGGAGCCUGCGGCUUAAUUUGACUCAACACUGGAAAACUUACCAGGUCCGAACAUAAAUGAGUAAGACAGAUUGAUAGCUCUUUCUCGAAUAUAUGAGUGGUGGUGCAUGGCCGUUCUUAGUUCGUGGAGUGAUUUGUCUGGUUAAUUUCUAUAACGAACGAGACUCAAAUAUAUUAAAUAGAUGCAUUCAGGAUUAUGAUGUUGAAACUUUAUAUAGUCUUCUAACAUUUUUAUACACGUCAAAAUGUAUAUACUGUUUGAUUGUAUUUAUAUAAAGUGGAGUCGUACCUGUUUGUUUGUCCCAUUAAUACGGACACUAGCUUCUUAAAUGGACAAAUUGCGUCUAGCAAUAAUGAGAUUGAACAAUAACAGGUCUGUAAUGUCCUUAGAUGUCCUGGGCUGCACGCGCGUUACAAUGAAAGUAUCAACGUGUAUUUCCUAGAGAGGUCUGGGUAAACCGCUGAAUCACUUUCAUGCUUGGGAUUGUGAACUGAAACUGUUCGCAUGAACCUGGAAUUCCCAGUAAGUGCGAAUCAUUAAUUCGCAUUGAUUACGUCCCUGCCCGUACACACCGCCCGUCGGUACUACCGAUUGAAUUAUUUAGUGAGGUCUCCGGACGUGAUCGCUGUGACGCCUUGUGUGUUACGGUUGUUUCGCAAAAGUUGACCGAACUUGAUUAUUUAGAGGAAGUAAAAGUCGUAACAAGGUUUCCGUAGGUGAACCUGCGGAAG